GAAAUGCGAUACGUAAUGUGAAUUGCAAUUUUUAGUGAACCAUCGAAUCUUUGAACGCACAUUGCGCCCUCUGGUAUUCCGGGGGGCAUGCCUGUUCGAGCGUCAUUACAACCCUCAAGCCUCGCUUGGAAUUGGAUCUAUAUCCCUCUUUUGAGUGGGUUGAUCUUAAAGUUAUUGGCGGUGCCCAGUGUAGACUUGGAGCGUAGUAAUCUCGAUACCGCUUUUCACGUCCCUUGGAUGCUUGCUUUGAACCACAAUUUUACCGGUUGACCUCGGAUCAGGUAGGGAUACCCGCUGAACUUAA
This 304-nucleotide unclassified non-coding RNA is filed under the name uncultured fungus. Its description in RNAcentral is "sequence contains ITS1". The stretch from base 1 to 105 matches the Rfam family "5.8S ribosomal RNA", at positions 50 to 154 of the family's 154-position model. Lineage: Eukaryota; Fungi. The record is from RNAcentral.